UGGGGAAUAUUGGACAAUGGGCGCAAGCCUGAUCCAGCAAUGCCGCGUGUGUGAAGAAGGUCUUCGGAUUGUAAAGCACUUUCGACGGGGACGAUGAUGACGGUACCCGUAGAAGAAGCCCCGGCUAACUUCGUGCCAGCAGCCGCGGUAAUACGAAGGGGGCUAGCGUUGCUCGGAAUGACUGGGCGUAAAGGGCGCGUAGGCGGCUUGUACAGUCAGAUGUGAAAUUCCCGGGCUUAACCUGGGGGCUGCAUUUGAUACGUGCGGGCUAGAGUGUGAAAGAGGGUCGUGGAAUUCCCAGUGUAGAGGUGAAAUUCGUAGAUAUUGGGAAGAACACCGGUGGCGAAGGCGGCGACCUGGUUCAUGACUGACGCUGAGGCGCGAAAGCGUGGGGAGCAAAC
Molecule: ribosomal RNA, 401 nt
Filed under: uncultured bacterium
Lineage: Bacteria
Description: bacterial SSU rRNA
Rfam family: Bacterial small subunit ribosomal RNA
Source: RNAcentral